RNAcentral lists this small nuclear RNA (215 nucleotides) under Neotoma lepida (desert woodrat). RNAcentral describes it as "7SK RNA". It matches the Rfam family "7SK RNA". From Rfam's summary of the family: 7SK was discovered as an abundant small nuclear RNA in the mid-70s but a possible function has only recently been suggested. The record is from Rfam by way of RNAcentral. Lineage: Eukaryota; Metazoa; Chordata; Mammalia; Rodentia; Cricetidae.
GCAGGUAACUCCUNCAUGUAUGUCCCUUCUACUGCCACACUUGGUCCAAGAGGCUGACAUUCCCUGAUCCAAGAGGCUGCUCUUCAGUCAGGGUUUGUGAAAAGCUGUGCUUUCCUUCUAGAACCUCCAAGCAAGCUCUAGGGGCCCAUCUGUGGGACAACUUAGGGUAGUCAAGCUUCNAGGGACUGAGCACCAUGAAUAGCAAUCUGUGUUUU